Molecule: long non-coding RNA, 552 nt
Organism: Pimephales promelas (fathead minnow)
Lineage: Eukaryota; Metazoa; Chordata; Actinopteri; Cypriniformes; Leuciscidae
Source: RefSeq, a predicted model, not a curated record
GUACACUCGCCCGAAUGACCCUUCCCCGAUAACCUCCAAAAUAUGAUACAGAUCCAUCAUGAAGGCCGGAGUCCGGAGACUUUUCAGCCUUUCAAAAAGCCCUCCUAGUCUCAUAUGACAACCAGGAGCCAGUUCCAUCAUCUUUAGCCCAUGAUGUAGUGUCACUGAGAGACACCGCUCCACCACUAGUCUCCUCUGAGGUUACGGCUGUCAUCUUCACCACUGCCAGAUCUCCAGGUGUCACCAUGUACGGUGGGCAGGAGUAGCUGGAGGCAGAGGUGUAGGAUGCUGCUGGGUAUGGGACAUCUUCCAGGGGUUGUAGAGUAUAAGGCUGAGAGCUGGAUGGGACGGAGCUCCCACUGCGCCCCGAGGAUAGACGGUAUGGAGAGGAACCGCCAGAGUCAGGCCCUCCGAGAGAUGGUGAGUCUGCCACGGGGACUGGACCCUCAGGACAUAUGACUUCUGACUGAGUGACUGGGUCCUCUGAUGGCUGCUCCCAAGGGUCUCUCUGCAGCAUAGAGAAAUAAUUAUAACAAUUAAUUUUCACAUUCC